GUAAGUGUGAGACCUACCAAGGUAUGUACAGAUGGGGGAAUCAUCUCCUGGCCAGGUAACUGUGAGACCUGCCAAGGUAUGUACAGAUGGGGGAAUCAUCUCCUGGCCAGGUAACUGUGAGACCUCCGAAGUUAUGUACAGACGGGGGAAUCAUCUUCUGGCCAGGUAACUGUGAGACCUACCGAGGUAUGUACAGAUGGGGGAAUCAUGUAGUGGCCAGGUAACUGUGAGACCUCCCAAGGUAUGUACAGAUGGGGGAAUCAUCUCCUGGCCAGGUAACUGUGACACCUACCAAAGCAUGUACAGAUGGGGGAAUCAUCUCCUGGCCAGGUAACUGUGAGACCUACCAAGGUUUGUACAGAUGGGGGAAUCAUCUCCUGGCCAGGUAACUGUGAGACCUACCAAGGUAUGUACAGAUGGGGAAUCAUUCCUGGCCAGGUAAGUGUGAGACCUCUCAAGGUUUGUACAGAUCGGAGAAUCAUCUCCUGGCCAGGUAACUGUGAGACCUACCAAGGUAUGUACAGAUGGGGAAUCAUUCCUGGCCAGGUAAGUGUGAGACCUCUCAAGGUUUGUACAGAUGGGGGAAUCAUCUCCUGGCCAGGUUACUGUGAUACCUACCAAGGUAUGUACAGAUGGUGGAAUCAUGUAGUGGCCAGGUAACUGUGAGACCUCCCAAGGUAUGUACAGAUGGGGGAAUCAUCUCCUGGCCAGGUAAGUGUGAGACCUCUCAAGGUUUGUACAGAUGGGGGAAUCAUCUCCUGGCCAGGUAAGUGUGAGACCUACCAAGGUAUGUACAGAUGGGGGAAUCAUCUCCUGGCCAGGUAAGUGUGAGACCUACCAAGGUAUGUACAGACGGGGUAAUCAUCUCCUGGCCAGGUAACUGUGACACCUACCAAAGCAUGUACAGAUGGGGGAAUCAUCUCCUGGCCAGGUAACUGUGAGACCUCCCAAGUUAUGUACAGAUGGGGGAAUCAUCUCCUGGCCAGGUAACUGUGAGACCUCCCAAGUUAUGUACCGAUGGGGGAAUCAUCUCCUGGCCAGGUAACUGUGAGACCUACCAAAGCAUGUACAGAUGGGGGAAUCAUCUCCUGGCCAGGUAACUGUGAGACCUCCAAAGUUAUGUACCGAUGGGGGAAUCAUCUCCUGGCCAGGUAAGUGUGAGACCUACCAAUGUAUGUACAGAUGGGGAAUCAUCUCCUGGCCAGGUAACUGUGAGACCUACCAAGGUAUGUACAGAUGGGGGAAUCAUCUCCUGGCCAGGUUACUGUGAUACCUACCAAGGUAUGUACAGAUGGGGGAAUCAUGUAGUGGCCAGGUAAGUGUGAGACCUCCCAAGGUAUGUACAGAUGGG
Haliotis rubra (blacklip abalone) is the source of this 1351-nucleotide RNA transcript. RefSeq lists it as uncharacterized. Lineage: Eukaryota; Metazoa; Mollusca; Gastropoda; Lepetellida; Haliotidae. The record is from RefSeq and is a predicted model, not a curated record. The transcript has 4 exons.